Molecule: ribosomal RNA, 866 nt
Filed under: Lophodermium microsporum
Lineage: Eukaryota; Fungi; Ascomycota; Leotiomycetes; Rhytismatales; Rhytismataceae
Description: SSU rRNA
Rfam family: Eukaryotic small subunit ribosomal RNA
Source: RNAcentral
CCCUUCGGGGCUCCUUGGUGAUUCAUAAUAACUUAACGAAUCGCAUGGCCUUGCGCCGGCGAUGGUUCAUUCAAAUUUCUGCCCUAUCAACUUUCGAUGGUAGGAUAGUGGCCUACCAUGGUUUCAACGGGUAACGGGAUUUUAGGGAAUGAUUCCGGAGAAGGAGCCUGAGAGACGGCUACUACAUCCAAGGAAGGCAGCAGGCGCGCAAAUUACCCAAUCCCGACACGGGGAGGUAGUGACAAUAAAUACUGAUACAGGGCUCUUUUGGGUCUUGUAAUUGGAAUGAGUACAAUUUAAAUACCUUAACGAGGAACAAUUGGAGGGCAAGUCUGGUGCCAGCAGCCGCGGUAAUUCCAGCUCCAAUAGCGUAUAUUAAAGUUGUUGCAGUUAAAAAGCUCGUAGUUGAACCUUGGGCCUGGCUGGCCGGUCCGCCUCACCGCGUGCACUGGUCCGGCCGGGCCUUUCCUUCUGGCAAACCUCAUGCCCUUCACUGGGUGUGUUGGGGAACCAGGACUUUUACUUUGAAAAAAUUAGAGUGUUCAAAGCAGGCCUAUGCUCGAAUACAUUAGCAUGGAAUAAUGAAAUAGGACGUGUGGUUCUAUUUUGUUGGUUUCUAGGACCGCCGUAAUGAUUAAUAGGGAUAGUCGGGGGCGUCAGUAUUCCGUUGUCAGAGGUGAAAUUCUUGGAUUUACGGAAGACUAACUACUGCGAAAGCAUUCGCCAAGGAUGUUUUCAUUAAUCAGUGAACGAAAGUUAGGGGAUCGAAGACGAUCAGAUACCGUCGUAGUCUUAACCAUAAACGAUGCCGACUAGGGAUCGGGCGAUGUUAUCUUUUUGACUCGCUCGGCACCUUACGAGAAAUC